CAUGGCUCAGAUUGAACGCUGGCGGCAGGCCUAACACAUGCAAGUCGAGCGGAUGAAGAGAGCUUGCUCUCUGAUUCAGCGGCGGACGGGUGAGUAAUGCCUAGGAAUCUGCCUGGUAGUGGGGGACAACGUUUCGAAAGGAACGCUAAUACCGCAUACGUCCUACGGGAGAAAGCAGGGGACCUUCGGGCCUUGCGCUAUCAGAUGAGCCUAGGUCGGAUUAGCUAGUUGGUGAGGUAAUGGCUCACCAAGGCGACGAUCCGUAACUGGUCUGAGAGGAUGAUCAGUCACACUGGAACUGAGACACGGUCCAGACUCCUACGGGAGGCAGCAGUGGGGAAUAUUGGACAAUGGGCGAAAGCCUGAUCCAGCCAUGCCGCGUGUGUGAAGAAGGUCUUCGGAUUGUAAAGCACUUUAAGUUGGGAGGAAGGGUUGUAGAUUAAUACUCUGCAAUUUUGACGUUACCGACAGAAUAAGCACCGGGCUAA
This 488-nucleotide ribosomal RNA is filed under the name uncultured bacterium. RNAcentral's name for it is "bacterial SSU rRNA". It matches the Rfam family "Bacterial small subunit ribosomal RNA", at positions 18 to 500 of the family's 1533-position model. The record is from RNAcentral.